RNAcentral lists this non-coding RNA (224 nucleotides) under Streptococcus sp. Its description in RNAcentral is "PreQ1-II sequence". It matches the Rfam family "PreQ1-II (pre queuosine) riboswitch aptamer". Rfam says of the family: Q is a hyper modified nucleoside present in some anticodons in tRNAs (Try, Asn, Asp and His). The record is from RNAcentral. RNAcentral also lists the same sequence under 1 other name. Lineage: Bacteria; Bacillati; Bacillota; Bacilli; Lactobacillales; Streptococcaceae.
UAUGAUACAAUAAGCAAGUUGUUUAUGCAACCCUUGGUGCUUAGCUUCUUUCACCAAGCAUAUUAGAAGCGUGAAAUAAAGUGGUGGCAUUCUAUUUAGACAGUGCCGACUUCAUUGUUUUUGCUGGCUAGUCUUCUAUGACAGUCAAAACGGUGAUUUCUGAACAGGCUUGUCUGACAGAAUACCAAGGCUCUUUUAUUUUGACGCUAAAGGAGAAUUAAAUG